AUAUGACACUGAAAAAGCUCGACGGAACGUCUCAAUGAACAUCGGAUGUGAACCAAACCAAACAAAACGAUCAGAGAGAGAGAGAGAGAGAGAGAGAGAUGUGGAGACGCGUAGCUCGACUGUCUUCCCUCAUACGAUCGUCGAAAGCGUCUCUUUCUAACCAGAUACAGCCAGCCAAUGGAUUGCAGAUUUUGGAAGCAUUCAGUACGGAAAUACAGAAAUCGGCAAAAGGUCGAAACCACCACAGAGAGAAACCCACAUUCAUAACUUUUGUCUUGGGAGGCCCUGGUAGUGGAAAAGGUACACAGUGUUUGAAGAUUGUUGAGACCUUUGGGUUCACUCACUUGAGUGCUGGAGAUCUGUUACGGAAGGAAAUAUCUUCUAAUAGUGAGAAUGGUGCCAUGAUUCUUGAGACAAUCAAGGAAGGAAAUAUUGUUCCUUCGGAACUGACAGUCAAACUGAUCCAAAGGGAAGUUGAAUCAAGUGAGAAUGACAAAUUUCUUAUUGAUGGAUUUCCACGAACUGAAGAGAACCGCCGGACAUAUGAACGUGUGGUUGGAGCAGAGCCGAACAUUGUGCUUUUCUUUGAUUGCCCUGAAGAAGAGAUGGUGAAGAGAGUGCUGAGUCGUAAUCAGGGGCGAGUUGAUGAUAAUAUUGAUACAGUCAAGAAACGUCUUGAAGUUUUUAAUGCUUUAAACCUUCCUGUCAUCAACUACUAUUCUGAGAAAGGAAAACUGUACAAGGUAUUCAUUCAAUCCCCGCUGUAGGAACAGAAGAUGAGAUAUUUACAAGAGUUCGCAAGAUUUUUACUUCAUUGGAGGUUUAAAUCGGUGUUACAUGGCAGCAGGCGACUAAAUAAAAAGAAGCUGAAUGGUCGAAGAACAAAACCGAUUUUGAGAGAUCAUGGCAUUCAGCCGGCUGUUUCCCUCUUUUUGCACCUUGCAAUGUGGACUAUUGGUUUAUCAGUUGCCCAUUUUCCCCCCCCCCCCACUUACUUGGGAUGUUUGAUGGGUUAGCCACUAACAAUACCAGAGGCAAAUAAAUUUUGUUCCCCCAUUUGUCGCGUCAACUGGUGCGGAUGAAUAGCUUGUUGUAAUGAAAAGUUACGUUGUUGUAGCCCAACUCCUAGUGCAUGCCUGUCUGUACAGGAAGAAAGCUCAUCUGAUAUCCAAUGACUUCCGUUAUGAGAUAAAUUCAUUCCAGCGUGGAUGUGUAGAACUAAACUAGACAUCUCUAUUGUCCCCCCAAACAGCAAACCUCAGACUUUAAGUCAUGUAUCAGAUGCAUUUCAAAAGCCAAUGGCAAAUAAAAUUUAACCAUCUCAUGAUUCUCAAUC
This is an RNA transcript of Rhododendron vialii, 1336 nucleotides long. It is a transcript of the gene named UMP-CMP kinase, with no coding region annotated. Lineage: Eukaryota; Viridiplantae; Streptophyta; Magnoliopsida; Ericales; Ericaceae. The transcript is spliced from 9 exons. The record is from RefSeq and is a predicted model, not a curated record.